RNAcentral lists this ribosomal RNA (492 nucleotides) under uncultured bacterium. Its description in RNAcentral is "partial 16S ribosomal RNA". It matches the Rfam family "Bacterial small subunit ribosomal RNA", at positions 29 to 507 of the family's 1533-position model. The record is from RNAcentral.
AGUGAACGCUGGCGGUAGGCCUAACACAUGCAAGUCGAACGGCAGCACAGUAAGAGCUUGCUCUUACGGGUGGCGAGUGGCGGACGGGAGAGGAAUACAUCGGAAUCUACUUUUUCGUGGGGGCUAACGAAGGGAAACUUACGCUAAUACCGCAUACGACCUACGGGUGAAAGCAGGGGAUCUUCGGACCUUGCACGAUUGAAUGAGCCGAUGCCGGAUUAGCUAGUUGGCGGGGUAAAGGCCAACCAAGGCGACGAUCCGUAGCUGGUCUGAGAGGAUGAUCGGCCACACUGGAACUGGGACACGGUCCAGACUCCUACGGGAGGCAGCAGUGGGGAAUAUUGGACAAUGGGCGCAAGCCUGAUCCAGCCAUACCGCGUGGGUGAAGAAGGCGUUCGGGUUGUAAAGCCCUUUUGUUGGGAAAGAAAAGCAGCAGGUUAAUACCCCGCUGUUCUGACGGUACCCACAGAAUAAGCACCGGCUAACUUCGUG